RNAcentral lists this ribosomal RNA (477 nucleotides) under uncultured bacterium. RNAcentral's name for it is "bacterial SSU rRNA". It matches the Rfam family "Bacterial small subunit ribosomal RNA", at positions 335 to 802 of the family's 1533-position model. The record is from RNAcentral.
ACUCCUACGGGAGGCAGCAGUAGGGAAUCUUCCGCAAUGGGCGAAAGCCUGACGGAGCAACGCCGCGUGAGUGAAGAAGGUCUUCGGAUCGAAAACUCUGUUAUUAGGGAAGAACAAAUAUGUAGUAAUACUAUGCACGNCUUUGACGGUACCUAAUCAGAAAGCCACGGCUAACUGACGUGCCAGCAGCCGCGGUAAUACGGAGGGUGCGAGCGUUAAUCGGAAUUACUGGGCGUAAAGCGCAUGCAGGUGGUUUGUUAAGUCAGAUGUGAAAGCCCGGGGCUCAACCUCGGAAUUGCAUUUGAAACUGGCAAGCUAGAGUACUGUAGAGGGGGGUAGAAUUUCAGGUGUAGCGGUGAAAUGCGUAGAGAUCUGAAGGAAUACCGGUGGCGAAGGCGGCCCCCCUGGACAGAUACUGACACUCAGAUGCGAAAGCGUGGGGAGCAAACAGGAUUAGAUACCCUGGUAGCUACGAGU